RNAcentral lists this unclassified non-coding RNA (334 nucleotides) under soil metagenome. RNAcentral describes it as "partial contains 5.8S ribosomal RNA, internal transcribed spacer 2, and large subunit ribosomal RNA". The stretch from base 1 to 120 matches the Rfam family "5.8S ribosomal RNA", at positions 35 to 154 of the family's 154-position model. The record is from RNAcentral.
GAUGAAGAACGCAGCGAAAUGCGAUACGUAAUGUGAAUUGCAGAAUUCAGUGAAUCAUCGAAUCUUUGAACGCACAUUGCGCCCCCCAGUAUUCUGGCGGGCAUGCCUGUUCGAGCGUCAUUUCAACCAUCAAGCCCUGCUUGUGUUGGGGUCCUGCGGCUGCCCGCAGGCCCUGAAAACCAGUGGCGGGCUCGCUAGUCACACCGAGCGCAGUAGCACAUCUCGCUCAGGGCGUGCGGCGGGCUCCAGCCGUUAAAGCACCCACCUUUCGCAAGGUUGACCUCGGAUCAGGUAGGAAUACCCGCUGAACUUAAGCAUAUCAAUAAGCGGAGGA